GUGAAUCAUCAAAUCUUUGAACGCAAAUUGCACUCUCUUCGGAGAGUAUGAGUGUUUGAGGGUGAGACUAAAAAAAAUCGACAUAGCUGCUGUUACGCGGUAACAUUCGUCGGAACUUGGGUCAUCUUCAGCCUUUGGGUUUAAGCGGCUUAAAAUUUUCUUUACGAUUCAAGGUACGUUCCUAAGAUUUUAUUUUCUUAUACGUUUAAGGUAUCGAUGUUUAUUAGACGUGGCCGUUGCUUUGGAUCUCGUUCAUAAAUAU
This 262-nucleotide unclassified non-coding RNA is filed under the name Glomus sp. RNAcentral's name for it is "partial contains 5.8S ribosomal RNA and internal transcribed spacer 2". The stretch from base 1 to 65 matches the Rfam family "5.8S ribosomal RNA", at positions 84 to 154 of the family's 154-position model. Lineage: Eukaryota; Fungi; Glomeromycota; Glomeromycetes; Glomerales; Glomeraceae. The record is from RNAcentral.